This 66-nucleotide transfer RNA is filed under the name Pellonula leonensis (smalltoothed pellonula). RNAcentral describes it as "tRNA-Pro". It matches the Rfam family "tRNA". From Rfam's summary of the family: Transfer RNA (tRNA) molecules are approximately 80 nucleotides in length. Their secondary structure includes four short double-helical elements and three loops (D, anti-codon, and T loops). Lineage: Eukaryota; Metazoa; Chordata; Actinopteri; Clupeiformes; Clupeidae. The record is from RNAcentral. RNAcentral also lists the same sequence under 4 other names.
CAGAGAAUAGUUUAGUUUAGAAUUCUAGCUUUGGGAGUUAGAGGUGGAAGUUAAAAUCUUUCUUCU